Cucurbita moschata (crookneck pumpkin) is the source of this 102-nucleotide long non-coding RNA. RefSeq lists it as uncharacterized. The transcript has 2 exons. The record is from RefSeq and is a predicted model, not a curated record. Lineage: Eukaryota; Viridiplantae; Streptophyta; Magnoliopsida; Cucurbitales; Cucurbitaceae.
AGAGAAUGAUCAUGGGAUUUAUAAUUAAAGAAUACUCUCUCCAUUGGUAUAAGGCCUCUUGGGGAAGCACAAAACAAAGCCAUGAGAGCUUAUGCUCAAAGU